ACGGAAGGCAGCAGUGGGGAAUAUUGCACAAUGGGGGAAACCCUGAUGCAGCGACGCCGCGUGAGUGAAGAAGUAUCUCGGUAUGUAAAGCUCUAUCAGCAGGGAAGAAAAUGACGGUACCUGACUAAGAAGCCCCGGCUAACUACGUGCCAGCAGCCGCGGUAAUACGUAGGGGGCAAGCGUUAUCCGGAUUUACUGGGUGUAAAGGGAGCGUAGACGGCGAUGCAAGUCUGAAGUGAAAGGCGGGGGCUCGACCCUUGGACUGCUUUGGAAACUGUAUUGCUAGAGUGCAGGAGAGGUAAGUGGAAUUCCUAGUGUAGCGGUGAAAUGCGUAGAUAUUAGGAGGAACACCAGUGGCGAAGGCGGCUUACUGGACUGUAACUGACGUUGAGGCUCGAAAGCGUGGGGAGCAAACAGGAUUAGAUACCCUGGUA
RNAcentral lists this ribosomal RNA (434 nucleotides) under uncultured Lachnospiraceae bacterium. Its description in RNAcentral is "partial 16S ribosomal RNA". It matches the Rfam family "Bacterial small subunit ribosomal RNA", at positions 341 to 792 of the family's 1533-position model. The record is from RNAcentral. Lineage: Bacteria; Bacillati; Bacillota; Clostridia; Lachnospirales; Lachnospiraceae.